This 456-nucleotide long non-coding RNA is filed under the name Mytilus galloprovincialis (Mediterranean mussel). The record is from RNAcentral. Lineage: Eukaryota; Metazoa; Mollusca; Bivalvia; Mytilida; Mytilidae.
CGAUAGUAGAGGGGCAUUAUGUUUUCUGGUCUUUUCGUCCGUCUGUCUGUCUGUCCGUUCGUUCGUUCGUCCGUCUGUCCCGCUUCAGGUUAAAGUUUUUGGUCAAGGUAGUUUUUGAUGAAGUUGAAGUCCAAUCAACUUGAAACUUAGUACACAUGUUCCUUAUGAUAUGAUCUUUCUAAUUUUAAAGCCAAAUUAAACUUUGACCCCAAUUUCACGGUCCACUGAACAUAGAAAAUUAAAGUGCAUGUUUCAGGUUAAAGUUUUUGGUCAAGGUAGUUUUUGAUGAAGUUGAAGUCCAAUCAACUUGAAACUUAGUACACAUGUUCCCUAUGAUAUUAUCUUUCUAAUUUUAAUGCCUAAUUAUAUUUUUAAUCCAAUUUCACGGUCCAUUGAACAUGGAAAAUGAUAGUGCGAGUGGGGCAUUCGUGUACUUUGGACACAUUCUUGUUUAAU